GUUGUCGUCUUCCUCGUCACGCACGCAGCUUGAGCCCCUCCGUGGCCGAGGUCCCCCUCCACCUGCUCCCCCUCCUCCUUAUCUUCUCGCCCCAGGAACCCUAGCCACCAACCCAUCUUCCUCUCCCUCCUGCCGCCGCCAACCCCCUCUCCCCUAUCUCUUUUCUCUGUGGGCAAACGAAGAAGAGAAAACCCCACUGCCACCAUCCUCUUCACCAUGGCACCGCCGCUCCCCACCUCCCCUCGCUGGUCUGAGGGCACCGUUCGAUGUGCCUCGUCGUCCUCUUCAUCCUCCCCAAAGGAAUCGAGCCGGGAGAGCUCCAAUCGCCGGCAAAUUCGCCGUUUCCGUCUCCAAGUCCGGCGAGAAAAUCGUCAAAUUCCGGCCGCCCUCGCCCUUCUAAGGCCAAACCAAGCACAUCCCCGGCUUCCUCGUGUUCAGGCGCACCCCCGACGCCCUCGCGCUUGUCCUCUUUCGCCCGCAGCCGUCAAGUUCUUCUUCCACCAGGACCGUCUGCCAUGGUCGUCCUGGCCCAAAGCUCCGCCUCGCACGCUUCCAAUCAAGGCGCACCUCCUCCCGUACAAGAAGCUAACAUCAGCGCAGUGAUCUCGUGGGCAGAGAUGCUUCAUUAGGCGUGGAGCCUUUUCCAAACCAACAUCAACACCAAAGUCCAUCUGGUUCGUUGCUUGGUCUUUGUCUUUGGAGACCCAGGUUCAAGUCACAGGGCCCCAGAUUUUUGAUCCAACCUUUCUUCUUUUUCUGCUCAGAUCUGGCGCCUACUGGGCCUCGACCCGUUUCUCGUCAAGUGCAGCCAUCGCCCACGCGGCCCAGAGUUUCCCAUCGCCAACGCAGACCGGAUCCGGCCCAGAACGUCACAGCAUUUGCUUCUUCCCGGAUAGGAUCACGAAGUGGUGAUGUGAGAUACGACGAGUUCUCCGACAAGUUCUUCUACAGUUUUUCACAGGCGAGCCCACCCCUUCACCUAUUUUACUUUUACAUGCUCUUUUGAUCUAUUGCUAUCCCUAUGUCACGAUUCUGUUGUGUCACGUGUCCUAUCCACCUGUUACCUAUAUGUCCGAGAUACACCUCCUCGCCCUACCUAUUGUUUGUUGUUUGCCAGCUUUGCGAGUCGUAGGCGAGUUUAGGGUCUUGUUGAUAUCUCGAGAUGUUCGGGAUAUCUUGUUGGGAGGUUAUCACAUGCUAUAUCUUUUGUUGGAGAUAAUCACACUUUACUUUAUUGUUAACAACUAAAAUUGUAAGCAGAGGCAUCUGUGAGCCCCUUUGCGAAAGCAUCGGAACUUUGACUCGCUAAUGUCCCCUAGGACCCGAGUUCUUGUUAUCUGUUCCGAGAUUGAGCGCUCUACCCGUACGUGGGGGAAUGGGACCCCCAUCACCCACUACCUUUCCUCGAGUCUGUUUAUUGGGAGCCACAACCUUGGUUUUAUUUGCCCAUAUGCACGAUGCACGAUUUACUUCCUGUUGCCUUCGGGUGUUUAUUUCGUCAUCUGUACUCAUAACGCGGGACUCCUUAUCCUUGGCCGGUCGUUAGUGCCCGCCUUGGAAGCCGUCGCAAACCUCUGGGUCCGUAUCGGAGUACGGCCGGACUUCGUCACGGGUAGCUUAGUUGGGUGGCUCCCAUUAAAUUUUCUCUUGCAUUGGGAACGGUCUUGAUGUGAGACUCCACCUGUAGUAAGUGGGUUCAAGCAUGCGUAUGGUUACAUUUGGGCAACCCCUGCAGGGUGUACAUCUUAUCGAUAAGCCGUGUCCGCGGUUAUGGACGACUUGGAAUUGUAUAGCUUGAUCAUAGAACAACUUACACCGUUAUCUUGUUGCUAAUAAUCUGAUAAUAACUUGCGUAGUAAUAUAGCCUUACUACAACCGUUACCCAAUAAAACUUGUCCACCGUUGAGUGCCUUUUACAUUGCCUCUUCGCAAUUGUUGGAGGGGAUAUGUGUAAUCGGCUGGGUUAUGUUUGUGUAGUAUUUAUCUGUUACCUUGUGCGCUCUCUUAUCUUCUCUGAGUAGACGGAUGUUGUAGCGUGUCUCUAUUGGAUAGUAGCUUUGCUGCCGCUAACUCCACAUAUAGCCGGGUGAAGUUUAUACCGCCCACCAGCGAGCAUAGCUGGUCUUGUCUCGCAAGUACGUGCCAAUGGUACUUACCCUCGCCUUCCUUUCUUUUUGUCUCCUCCCCCUUUUGUCGGCAACCGAUGGCCCGACUUUGACAGGUACGAGAUGACGACGUUAGCAAGGUUACCCUUCCGGCUUGGCUCGGGCGGGGUUAUGGACGCCGCUGGUUAUAUUCAGGACUCUUAGUCCAAUUUGUAUCUUGUCCGUACUCGGACGUAUUUGAUCUUCUGUAUGAUUUGGAUCUUUGUAUUGUAUAUUUGUAUCUUGACUCGUUGGAGUCAUUGUUGUAAUAUAUGUUUCUUGUGGGCUCUAUUGUAAUCCUGUUGUAAUGUUA
Non-coding RNA from Lolium perenne, 2457 nucleotides. The record is from RefSeq and is a predicted model, not a curated record. Lineage: Eukaryota; Viridiplantae; Streptophyta; Magnoliopsida; Poales; Poaceae.